RNAcentral lists this long non-coding RNA (931 nucleotides) under Homo sapiens (human). RNAcentral's name for it is "HSALNT0373503". Lineage: Eukaryota; Metazoa; Chordata; Mammalia; Primates; Hominidae. The record is from RNAcentral.
ACCAGCAGCUCCCUUGGUAGGGGCAUGCAGAAGACCUGAUGACACAAACCCUCCAAAGAGUUUCACCCUCACCACAACAGGUGGCUUCCUGCUCGGCAGCCCAUCCUGCAUCACUUCAGUGGACUUCUCUGACAUCUACUAGACCACAUUAAAUGAAUCACAGCCUUGAAACUGAACUGGAAGGACUUCCUUCAAGGAGCCAGCAUAUGAACUUGCUGCCUAUCUUUAGCAAGGAGAUGCAAAUGACAUCCACAAACCUCUUCUGCUGUAUACCUGGAUGAAAGCAAGGCUAGCUGUGUGUCCUAUGGCACCAAGGACUGAAAGAUUGUAAGAAGUAAGAAAUGCUUUGGUAAUUCUGUUUCUCAAGCCUGCACAUCACGAGCAAACAAGUAUGCUUAUGGGUGUCUUAGCCCAGUAGGCUGUUUAUCAGAAAGCUACCAGUCCCCUGUGAGAAGCUGGCUUUCCUCCAAAAUGUAGAAGGUGUUUAAGGGGACAUAUUUCUUUGGUACACCCUAAAGCAAGCUUGUCCAAUGUGCAGCCUGCAGGCCGCAUGUGGCUCAGGACAGCUUUGAAUGUAGCCCAACAUAAAUUCAUAAACUUUCUUAAAACAUUGUGAUUUUUUUGUGUGUUUUUCUUUGUUUGUUGCUAAUCAUCUAUUGUUAGUGUUAGUGUAUUUUAUGUGUGGCCCAAGACAAUUCUUCUUCUUCCAGUGUGGCCCAGGGAAGCCAAAAGAUUGGACACCCCUACCCUAAUGGCUAAGGAAAGUUUAAAUCCUGUCCCCACCUACCUCAGGUCCAUGUUGCUCUCUAGCUGAGUCAGCUCAUAGAGCUCACUGUGGGCUAUGCCUUGGUGGUGACAGUGUCAACAAUGGACAACACCAAGAGAGGUAACUUUAAGUAUCACACAGAUCCUGCUGUAGCCUUGGGAGCAA